Phacochoerus africanus (Common warthog) is the source of this 1805-nucleotide long non-coding RNA. RefSeq lists it as uncharacterized. The record is from RefSeq and is a predicted model, not a curated record. NCBI's taxonomy places the organism in Eukaryota, Metazoa, Chordata, Mammalia, Artiodactyla, Suidae. The transcript is spliced from 4 exons.
AUUUCCCUUCUCACCAUUCAGAACCAUUACGUGUCAACUUCCUACAUCUCUGCACUGGAAAAUUUGUGGGCUGUCUCCAAACAGCCCUUGGAUUGUAAGUCAGACGGAGAAAAAUGUUCGGGUCCCUCAAGCAGAAGCUCUAAAUGGAGUCUGUUUGUCACCAGGUUUUCUCAAUGAGUAAAUGGAGAGGCAAUACCUAGAGCUGUCACAGGCAUCCUGCAGCCUUGAGGAUGAAAUUCACAUGCCGAGCAUGAAGGAGCCUGAAGAUGGGAGCCUGGAGCCCCAACGACAUUGUUGAGACAGUAUUCCAGUUCUCUGGCACCUUCCUCUCUACUUUUCACCCAAGGUCAAUUGCAGCCUGAAAAUAUUAAAUGGAAAAUUUCAGAAAUAAACAAUUCAUCAAUUUUUAAAUCAUAUGCUGUUCUGCAUUGUAUGAUGAAAUCUCAUGCUGUCUGGCUCCAUCCCUCCUGUGACAACGAUCAGAACGACUGUCAAGGUCGGACUGCACCACCUGAGCAUGUAGGAUCCUCCGGUGAGAGCUUGGAUCAGGUUGUAAAAUUCACUUCAGACUUUCAUGUGUCUGUUUAUCGUUGUACAACUGGGUUUCUCCAAGCCUGCUGAUAACAGAGAAGUCCUCGGAAUCAUAAUAACCCAGUAACAACUUAAUAACUGCACCUCCAAGGCCUCCAUGUGUCGGGGAGUCGGGUGCCUGCGGCAGCUCACACCUUCCCACCUAAGUCCUUAUGUUCUCCUCCUGCCCUUCUUCUCCAUCUGCUUGGGAAUCCACUGGGGCCUGUGGGUCACCAUCACCACGGAGUCCCAUGGCAGUGGCAGGUGGGAAUCAAGGAGCAGUCUACACACCCCCAAGCCCUCCAAGAGACUUACGAAGAAGGAGGGCAAAAGAAUGGCACCUUGUGUGUGUUUGCGUCUGGAUGGUAGACCCCUGCUGUGCUUCCUUCCCUCAAGAACACAGUUGCAGGUGCCAAGCAUCAGAGCCUAGAGCUGCAAAGCAGUAUUUGGUUUCCAGGAGACCUUAUCUAAUAGGGCCCUGGCGUGGUCCAUGUAGAACUACAGAGAACACCGUACCUGGAGUUACCUUUAUUACCUGCCCUCAGAAAUAGCUUCUGAACCCUUUUCCCAGUUUCUCCUCAGAGUCCCUUUCUCCACAAGACUUGGACCCAGAACCGUGGAGGUGGCUCCAGGACUGAAAAUGUGACAUUGACACCAUGUUCUCCUCCAAGAGGAAUGGGAGCCCUCUCCCCAUUGUUCUCAGUAAAAGUUCUCCUCCUGUAGGUCAUCUCCUAGCAGGCCGUCCCUCCACUCUGUCAGACAUGACCCUGAGGGCUGGGUCCCACCUCAGCCUCAAUCUGGGAUCCCUGCUCCCAGCCACAAAUGAACCCGUAACCAUCAGCCAGGCAUUUGUCUACCCUGGACCUCUUGGUUCUUCAUCUGUACAAUGUGACACACCCUUUCCAUGUCAGUUAGGAGACUUAGAAGACACCAUCAAUGACCAAGAACUUUAAAAGAGCUUUGUCCUGAGUCAGAGAAAACCAGGAGUCAAGGGCAUUUUUUUUUUUUUCUUUUAGCCCAGCAUGGCAGACUGGCAGGAUGGGUUGGCUUCCUUCCCCUAAUUCAACCUAGCUGGCCUAGCUGAGUCUUGUUAAAGAACAGAUUACCCUUAUAUGAUUUAUUUAUAAAGUUUUUUAGUAUCUUGCCAAGCGACUUUAUCAAGUGUCACCAUAUUGGGGUUGAGGGGACAACGGUGCCUGGGAAAGGUAGGUGAGUAUAUGGGGAGAAAGAGAGUG